Long non-coding RNA from Uranotaenia lowii, 1057 nucleotides. RefSeq lists it as uncharacterized. The transcript is spliced from 3 exons. The record is from RefSeq and is a predicted model, not a curated record. NCBI's taxonomy places the organism in Eukaryota, Metazoa, Arthropoda, Insecta, Diptera, Culicidae.
GACCAUCGAUUCGGCUUCUGCCCCGUUCGUUAAGGCACUCCAGCAUCAUACAGCUUCACUGGUCUCGCUCGAGGUCACUGGAUCUGUCGAAAAAUCAGCACCUUUCUAUCUCGACUUCAAGAAAACGGAUUCCGAUGUUAUCUCCCAUAUCCUGGUCACCAUCGAUUGGGAAUCUGAACUCGAUCUAUUGAAUCCCAAAGCUGCUAUCGAAACCUUUUUGCAUAUCUAAAAUUACGUUAUCGACUGCCACGUGCCAAAGCACAAGACUUCCAAGAAUUUGCGGACUCCCGGUUUACGAAAGAACAGCGUCGACUGAAGACGGUGAAGAGAUGUGCACGCAGCGAAAAGUAGUACCAUUGAUAUAAAAAAAAUACAUCUUUAAUUCAAAAACCUUGCGUACAUUGAAACAAAAUCCUUUUUCCUUGAUUUAAGUAAAUUUUAUAUUGAACCGAACUAUUUUUCCUUUAAACCAAUGUUCCAAGUUUUAAAAUCAAAGUAUUUAAUUUAAAUUUAAAGAAUUUAUUUUUUGACGCAGAAUCAAUGUAAAAAUUCAUUGAUUUAGAUGAAUGUUUUUUUGAAUCAAAGUAUUUUUUCGUCAAAUAGUCGACACAUCUUCAUUAGCUUCUGUUUGGUGAACGGGUCGGGGAAAAGCUUUUCCGAUAACCAGUCAGACUUAUUUAUACCAGCGGAAUCUUCCUGCCGUGCAACCCCAGACAGCAUCGGAUUCAAGAGCGGAAAAUUCCGACAGCUACGAGAGGGCAAACGAUAGUGGACUCCAAGGGCAACCAUUCGUCCAACCAAUUUGAAAAGGUAACUGUGCUGACUGUUCCAGUCCUCCGGCUAUAAGCGGUUGCAAUCGGUUCCGAUCCGGUCCAGGGAGACACAACGGCUGACGCCAAAACCCUUUUGUUCGAAAGCAACUGUCUAGCAACGAAUAUCGUUCAAUGAACCGGUUUAAAAAUUCAAUAUAAGGGAAAAUCGAUUAUGUGAAGUGGUGAACGAUAGAACAUCUACUUACAGAGAAAAAAAACUUACAGAGAAAUAAAAUGUUUCCAAC